UGCAGCAGCCGCGGUAAUUCCAGCUCCAAUAGCGUAUAUUAAAGUUGUUGCAGUUAAAAAGCUCGUAGUUGAACUUCAGAUCUGGCUGGGCGGUCUGCCUAACGGUAUGUACUGUCCGGCUGGGUCUUACCUCUUGGUGAGCCGGCAUGCCCUUCACUGGGUGUGUCGGGGAACCAGGACUUUUACCUUGAGAAAAUUAGAGUGUUCAAAGCAGGCUUAUGCCCGAAUACAUUAGCAUGGAAUAAUAAAAUAGGACGUGCGGUUCUAUUUUGUUGGUUUCUAGAGUCGCCGUAAUGAUUAAUAGGGAUAGUUGGGGGCAUUAGUAUUCCGUUGCUAGAGGUGAAAUUCUUGGAUUUACGGAAGACUAACUAUUGCGAAAGCAUUUGCCAAGGAUGUUUUCAUUAAUCAAGAACGAAGGUUAGGGGAUCGAAAACGAUCAGAUACCGUUGUAGUCUUAACAGUAAACUAUGCCGACUAGGGAUCGGGCGAACUCAAUUUGAUGUGUCGCUCG
RNAcentral lists this ribosomal RNA (511 nucleotides) under uncultured eukaryote. RNAcentral describes it as "SSU rRNA". It matches the Rfam family "Eukaryotic small subunit ribosomal RNA", at positions 565 to 1082 of the family's 1831-position model. The record is from RNAcentral.